Long non-coding RNA from Gasterosteus aculeatus aculeatus (three-spined stickleback), 2476 nucleotides. NCBI's taxonomy places the organism in Eukaryota, Metazoa, Chordata, Actinopteri, Perciformes, Gasterosteidae. The record is from Ensembl.
GGGGCCGGGCCGGUGCCGGAGACUUGAGUCGCGGGGCUGGGAUCAGGAGGUUUCUGCGGCCUCAGCGUGGAGAGAGUAGGUGGGCUUGGAGUUUGGCAGCGAGCUCCAUCACCCGCUCCCGGUGACAUCAGUGUAUAUGUCGCGUUCCGCUCUGGGCUAAACGAGUUCCCCAGAUGGGUACCAGGGACCAAACUCUGCUGAGUCCUUCACGGGUCACGUCCUUCUAUCAGUAGUGUUGUUACUCCCGACCCUCCUGCUUCGAAGCUUGUGUCGAAAUAUGAACCAGUGCGCGGCGAAGCAAAUGUAUCGGUGCUCGGUGCGUUCGCUGCUGAUCACGUGAUCAGUGACGUCCGAAGCUUCGGUCCGGCGCACAGUCACGUGACCGCUUCGAUUUGAUUCAAUGGGCUCGAAACAGGGUUCAGGCUGUUGUAGUAGCAGUAGCAGUAGUAGUAGCAGUAGUAGCAGUAGUAGUAGUAGUAGCAGUAGUAGUAGUAGUAGUAGCAGUUGUAGUAGUAGUAGUAGUAGCAGUAGUAGCAGUAGUAGUAGCUGUAGUAGCAGUAGUAGUAGCAGUAGUAGCAGUAGUAGUAGCAGUAGUAGUAGUAGCAGUAGUAGUAGUAGUAGUAGCAGUAGCAGUUGUAGUCGUAUUAGCAGUAGUAGUAGCAGUAGUAGUAGUAGUAGCAGUUGUAGUAGUAGUAGUAGUAGCAGUAGUAGCAGUAGUAGUAGCUGUAGUAGCAGUAGUAGUAGCAGUAGUAGUAGUAGUAGCAGUAUCAGUAGUAGUAGUAGCAGUAGUAGUAGUAGUAGCAGUAGCAGUAGUAGUAGUAGUAGUAGCAGUAGUAGUCGUCGUAGUAGUAGCAGUAGCAGUAGUAGUAGUAGCAGUAGUAGUCGUCGUAGUCGUAGUAGUAGCAGUAGUCGUAGUAGUAGCAGUAGUAGUAGUAGCAGUAGUAGUAGUAGUAGUAGUAGUAGCAGUAGUAGUAGUAGUAGCAGUAGUAGUAGUAGUAGCAGUAGUAGUAAGCACAUUUCCAAUGGAACCUGUGGCAAAGAGAGGUCGCUCCGAGAUGUGGGAUCACUUCAAUUUGAUUUCCUCUAACAAGGUUUGUAACAGGCAGGCAAAGUCUAUCAUUUGUAUUGUGUAAUUAUGGAUGUUCAGUACAGUAAUAUGAUUAAUAUCUCAAAUAAUAAUGAUGAUGAUGAAGAUGAUGAUGGCAGCAGCAGGUGUCAGGACCAGGGUCCCGAAGGAACCACGAUCUACGGAGACCUGAUAGGGGAGAAAACACAAAAAAACUCCUGGAAAGAAGCAGAAUUAGUGAUGUGCAUUAAUAAAACGUGAAUUGUGGUAGAACGAGAGCGUGAGAGAGGAGCUCGGUGUGACAUUCAAACAACUCACAUAAAGUCCCUAUGACUGCCAUGAACUGCACGUGCAGUAGGAAGCACUUGCUGGUAUUUUAAAUUAUAAUUAUAUAUAUAUUGUUCCACUUCUUGCCAAUGUUCAGAGAAUUGAAAUACACAAACAAGGACACACUUCAAACCUGAACAACAAUAGUUGUAUUCAUAUAGGAAUCCAUGUAUUUAUUAGAUGAUUUAUUGGUUCAACUUUUCAUAAUCAGAGAUUGGGCCAAAAUAUACUGGUGGGCUAUUCGAACCAUUUGCACUACACGUUUUCAACAGCAGACGUCAUCAUAGAGUUUGCGAUGCAUUGAAUGAAUGAACCUUUAUCCGAUACGAUGGGCUGGAAAGCUUCACUUUGCCAUCACUGUCUAUCAGGAAGGGAGGGGAAGGCAGGACUCAAGCGCAUAGUUUCGAAACAAAAAGACUUUAAGGGGGCAAAAACGCAGCCAGGAACCAGGAACAUUCCACAAUGACACGACAAGAGACACACAAGGCCUAAAUACACUGGUAAGGUGCAGGUGAUUGGACGCAGGUGGAAACAAUCACGACACGGCAGACAAUCAAAGGGGACGACAGGACAAGGCAGGAAGUGAAGUUACCGAGGGAGACAAGAGGCAGAAAACUACAAAAUAGAACAGGACGUGAACCCCAAACCCGGACACCUCUCUCCUCUUCCCUUAGAGAGGGCAAACAUGCGCACACACACACACACACACACACACACACACACACACACACACACACACACAGGUCAGAGGUCAUUUUCUCAUGAAACACAUCACUCAGUUAUGAACUUUAGUUUUCUGACUAGUUUACUUUAAAAUCUACUUCAAUAUGAUGUCAUAUAUUCUAAAAUGGUACAAUAAAACGUAACAAAAUGUUUUAAUAUGACAUAAUAUAAUAUGAUACAAUAAAAUACUAUAGAAUUUAAUGGAAUAUAACUUAAUAAAACAAUAUACUGUAACUUGAUAUAAUGUACAGUUAAACUCAAUUUAGUGCAGGAUGUUGAGUUGAUGUGUUCAACGUCAACAAGCUCACACUGAGAGGUGGACUGAUGGUGGGGGGGUUUGGGGUGAGAGGUCACUCUCUG